Molecule: long non-coding RNA, 1465 nt
Organism: Clupea harengus (Atlantic herring)
Lineage: Eukaryota; Metazoa; Chordata; Actinopteri; Clupeiformes; Clupeidae
Source: Ensembl
GCUCUAACAGUCCCCUGGACCCCGACAGUUCAUCAAAGGGCCAUUCAAACAGACAGCCCCGUCUCCACACCUGCGCUCACACACUUGGUUUUAUCCUGUGUGUGUGUGUGUGUGUGUUGUCCUGUACACGAAAGCCACCUACAAAAGUAUUGCGUGUUCCUAGGAGCUACUCAUAGUUCCUAGAGUCGAAAAAGCCACAAGCAGGAAGUGUAACGUUAGAAUGGUCACUACCCAGAGUUCUAUAGUUCUUUGUACACCAAAGCUGCCUUGAAAAAAAAGUUGAACAUUAAAAUGGAGACCAUCCAGUCCCCGUAGGAGGAAGAGGAAGGAGCUAUCCAGUCCCCGUAGGAGGAAGAGGAAGGAGCUAUCCAGUCCCCGUAAGAGGAAGAGGAAGGAGCUAUCCAGUCCCCGUAAGAGGAAGGAGCUAUCCAGUCCCCGUAAGAGGAAGAGGAAGGAGCUAUCCGGUCCCCGUAAGAGGAAGGAGCUAUCCAGUCCCCGUAAGAGGAAGAGGAAGGAGCUAUCCAGUCCCCGUAGGAGGAAGAGGAAGGAGCUAUCCAGUCCCCGUAAGAGGAAGAGGAAGGAGCUAUCCAGUCCCCGUAAGAGGAAGAGGAAGGAGCUAUCCAGUCCCCGUAAGAGGAAGGAGCUAUCCAGUCCCUGUAAGAGGAAGAGGAAGGAGCUAUCCAGUCCCCGUAAGAGGAAGAGGAAGGAGCUAUCCAGUCCCCGUAGGAGGAAGAGGAAGGAGCUAUCCAGUCCCCGUAAGAGGAAGAGGAAGGAGCUAUCCAGUCCCCGGAAGAGGAAGGAGCUAUCCAGUCCCCGUAAGAGGAAGAGGAAGGAGCUAUCCAGUCCCCGUAAGAGGAAGAGGAAGGAGCUAUCCAGUCCCCGUAAGAGGAAGAGGAAGGAGCGCAGGACGUGUAGCGAGGCGCCCCCUACAGGACAGAUGUCCCAACUGCAGCCCUGAGUCUGAGGGGUGAUGGGAUCAGGUGAGGCCCCUCGGGGAGAGGCCCCAGAUGUGUGUGAGGCCCUCGGGGAGAGGAGAAGACCCAGGUGUGUGUGUGAGGCUGUGUCGGGAGAGGCCCCAGAUGUGUGUGUGAGGCUGUGUUGGUUCAGGAGAGGACCCAGAUGUGUGUGUGAGGCUGUGUUGGUUCAGGAGAGGACCCAGGUGUGUGUGAGGCUGUGUCGGGGAGAGGAGAGGACCCAGGUGUGUGUGAGGCCCCAGGUGUGUGUGUGAGGCGUGUCGGGGGCGGUGCAUUAGCUGGGGCGGAUCUCCAAACUGAGACAGAAUGAGAAGCAGGUGUGAAAGUGGAGACGCCCUCUGACCUCGACGUGUGAACUUUGACCUCCAUCUUGCUAAUCCUCACUAGAGCAGGACCAGUCGAGGCCACAAUACAGUACUUCUAUCUCCCUCUUCCCACACACACACACGCGCACGCUCACGCUCUUGUGGAGCAGAAUGAAGUCUGAGCUC